This 77-nucleotide transfer RNA is filed under the name Myxococcales bacterium. RNAcentral's name for it is "tRNA-Arg". It matches the Rfam family "tRNA". From Rfam's summary of the family: Transfer RNA (tRNA) molecules are approximately 80 nucleotides in length. Their secondary structure includes four short double-helical elements and three loops (D, anti-codon, and T loops). Lineage: Bacteria; Pseudomonadati; Myxococcota; Myxococcia; Myxococcales. The record is from RNAcentral.
GUCUCCGUAGCUCAACCGGAUAGAGCAUUCGCCUCCUAAGCGAAGGGUUGCAGGUUCGAUUCCUGUCGGGGACGCCA